UACGUAGGAUCCGAGCGUUGUCCGGAUUUACUGGGUGUAAAGGGCGUGUAGGUGGAUUGGCAAGUCGGUGGUGAAAGCCUGCGGCUCAACCGCAGAAUUGCCCUCGAUACUACCAAUCUUGAGUACGGCAGAGGGAGAUGGAAUUCAUGGUGUAGCGGUGAAAUGUGUAGAUAUCAUGAAGAACACCGGUAGCGAAGGCGGUCUCCUGGUCCGUUACUGACACUGAGGCGCGAAAGCGUGGGGAGCAAACAGG
Molecule: ribosomal RNA, 253 nt
Filed under: uncultured bacterium
Lineage: Bacteria
Description: partial 16S ribosomal RNA
Rfam family: Bacterial small subunit ribosomal RNA
Source: RNAcentral